GGCCGCGAGAAUUUCGAUUAGAGUUUGAUCAUGGCUCAGAACGUACGCUGGCGGCACGCCUUAUACAUGCAAGUCGAACGCAGUAGCAAUACUGAGUGGCAAACGGGUGAGUAUAAUGUGGGUAUCUGCCUUUUGGUUUGGAAUAACAUGAGGAAACUCGUGCUAAUACCGGAUAAGCCUUCACAGGGAAAGUUUUAUACGCCGAAAGAUGAGCCCGCACUUGAUUAGUUUGUUGGUGAGGUAAUGGCUCACCAAGACAAUUAUCAAUAGCUGGUCUGAGAGGACGAUCAGCCACAUUGGGACUGAGACACGGCCCAGACUCCUACGGGAGGCAGCAGUAAGGAAUCUUGCACAAUGGGGGAAACCCUGAUGCAGCGAUGCCGCGUGAGUGAAGAAGGCCCUUGGGUUGUAAAACUCUUUCGUCGGGGAAGAAAAUGACUGUACCCGAAUAAGAAGGUCCGGCUAACUUCGUGCCAGCAGCCGCGGUAAUACGAAGGGACCUAGCGUAGUUCGGAAUUACUGGGCUUAGAGAGCUCGUAGGUGGUUAAAAAAGUUGAUGGUGAAAUCCCAAGGCUCAACCUUGGAACUGCCAUCAAAACUUUUUAGCUAGAGUGUGAUAGAGGAAAGUGGAAUUUCUAGUGUAGAGGUGA
Molecule: ribosomal RNA, 650 nt
Filed under: uncultured bacterium
Lineage: Bacteria
Description: bacterial SSU rRNA
Rfam family: Bacterial small subunit ribosomal RNA
Source: RNAcentral